RNAcentral lists this small RNA (90 nucleotides) under Mesonia algae. RNAcentral describes it as "Flavo-1 RNA". It matches the Rfam family "Flavo-1 RNA". Lineage: Bacteria; Pseudomonadati; Bacteroidota; Flavobacteriia; Flavobacteriales; Flavobacteriaceae. The record is from Rfam by way of RNAcentral.
UUAUUGCGUUAGGGAUAGAAGCGGCAUCCUUUUUAAAAUUUUGCCCUUAGGCAGAAAUUUAAAAAGAUAUAGCAGAUAGCCCGCCGAUAG